GAUGAACGCUGGCGGCGUGCCUAAUACAUGCAAGUCGAGCGAACGGACGAGAAGCUUGCUUCUCUGAUGUUAGCGGCGGACGGGUGAGUAACACGUGGAUAACCUACCUAUAAGACUGGGAUAACUUCGGGAAACCGUAGCUAAUACCGGAUAAUAUUUUGAACCGCAUGGUUCAAAAGUGAAAGACGGUCUUGCUGUCACUUAUAGAUGGAUCCGCGCUGCAUUAGCUAGUUGGUAAGGUAACGGCUUACCAAGGCAACGAUGCAUAGCCGACCUGAGAGGGUGAUCGGCCACACUAGAACUGAGACACGGUCCAGACUCCUACGGGAGGCAGCAGUAGGGAAUCUUCCGCAAUGGGCGAGAGCCUGACGGAGCAACGCCGCGUGAGUGAUGAAGGUCUUCGGAUCGUAAAACUCUGUUAUUAGGGAAGAACAUAUGUGUAAGUAACUGUGCACAUCUUGACGGUACCUAAUCAGAAAGCCACGGCUAACUACGUG
Molecule: ribosomal RNA, 497 nt
Filed under: uncultured bacterium
Lineage: Bacteria
Description: partial 16S ribosomal RNA
Rfam family: Bacterial small subunit ribosomal RNA
Source: RNAcentral